AAAUUGAAGAGUUUGAUCAUGGCUCAGAUUGAACGCUGGCGGCAGGCCUAACACAUGCAAGUCGAGCGGAAACGAGUUAUCUGAACCUUCGGGGAACGAUAACGGCGUCGAGCGGCGGACGGGUGAGUAAUGCCUAGGAAAUUGCCCUGAUGUGGGGGAUAACCAUUGGAAACGAUGGCUAAUACCGCAUAAUGCCUACGGGCCAAAGAGGGGGACCUUCGGGCCUCUCGCGUCAGGAUAUGCCUAGGUGGGAUUAGAUAGUUGGUGAGGUAAGGGCUCACCAAGGCGACGAUCCCUAGCUGGUCUGAGAGGAUGAUCAGCCACACUGGAACUGAGACAC
RNAcentral lists this ribosomal RNA (340 nucleotides) under Vibrio sp. B181a. RNAcentral's name for it is "bacterial SSU rRNA". It matches the Rfam family "Bacterial small subunit ribosomal RNA", at positions 1 to 327 of the family's 1533-position model. Lineage: Bacteria; Pseudomonadati; Pseudomonadota; Gammaproteobacteria; Vibrionales; Vibrionaceae. The record is from RNAcentral.